UUUAAUUCGACGCAACGCGAAGAACCUUACCAGGUCUUGACAUUGAUGGACAGAACUAGAGAUAGCUCCUCUUCCUCGGAAGCCAGAAAACAGGUGGUGCACGGUUGUCGUCAGCUCGUGUCGUGAGAUGUUGGGUUAAGUCCCGCAACGAGCGCAACCCCUAUCUUAUGUUGCCAGCACUUUGGGUGGGGACUCAUGAGAGACUGCCGCAGACAAUGCGGAGGAAGGCGGGGAUGACGUCAAAUCAUCAUGCCCCUUAUGACCUGGGCUACACACGUACUACAAUGGGAGUUAAUAGACGGAAGCGAGAUCGCGAGAUGGAGCAAACCCGAGAAACACUCUCUCAGUUCGGAUCGUAGGCUGCAACUCGCCUACGUGAAGUCGGAAUCGCUAGUAAUCGCAGGUCAGCAUACUG
Molecule: ribosomal RNA, 415 nt
Filed under: uncultured Bacillota bacterium
Lineage: Bacteria; Bacillati; Bacillota
Description: bacterial SSU rRNA
Rfam family: Bacterial small subunit ribosomal RNA
Source: RNAcentral